This 565-nucleotide ribosomal RNA is filed under the name Staphylococcus aureus. RNAcentral describes it as "bacterial SSU rRNA". It matches the Rfam family "Bacterial small subunit ribosomal RNA", at positions 1 to 548 of the family's 1533-position model. The record is from RNAcentral. Lineage: Bacteria; Bacillati; Bacillota; Bacilli; Caryophanales; Staphylococcaceae.
UUUAUGGAGAGUUUGAUCCUGGCUCAGGAUGAACGCUGGCGGCGUGCCUAAUACAUGCAAGUCGAGCGAACGGACGAGAAGCUUGCUUCUCUGAUGUUAGCGGCGGACGGGUGAGUAACACGUGGAUAACCUACCUAUAAGACUGGGAUAACUUCGGGAAACCGGAGCUAAUACCGGAUAAUAUUUUGAACCGCAUGGUUCAAAAGUGAAAGACGGUCUUGCUGUCACUUAUAGAUGGAUCCGCGCUGCAUUAGCUAGUUGGUAAGGUAACGGCUUACCAAGGCAACGAUGCAUAGCCGACCUGAGAGGGUGAUCGGCCACACUGGAACUGAGACACGGUCCAGACUCCUACGGGAGGCAGCAGUAGGGAAUCUUCCGCAAUGGGCGAAAGCCUGACGGAGCAACGCCGCGUGAGUGAUGAAGGUCUUCGGAUCGUAAAACUCUGUUAUUAGGGAAGAACAUAUGUGUAAGUAACUGUGCACAUCUUGACGGUACCUAAUCAGAAAGCCACGGCUAACUACGUGCCAGCAGCCGCGGUAAUACGUAGGUGGCAAGCGUUAUCCGG